GAUGAACGCUGGCGGCGUGCCUAACACAUGCAAGUCGAGCGAAGCGGGGACGGGGGAGUAACACGUGGAUAACCUCCUUUAAGACUGGGGUAAAUUCGGGAAAACGUUGCCAAACCGGCGUCUUAUACAUGGAUCCGUGCUGCAUUAGCUAGUUGGGAAGGUAACGGCGUACCAAGGCAACGAGGCAUAGCCGACCUGAGAGGAUGAUCGGCCACACUGGAACUGAGACACGGUCCAGACUCCUACGGGAGGCAGCAGUAGGGAAUCUUCCGCAAUGGGCGAAAGCCUGAUGCAGCAACGCCGCGUGAGUGAAGAAGGUCUUCGGAUCGUAAAGCUCUUUUAUUAGGGAAGCGGUACCUAAUCAGAAAGCCCCGGCUAACUACGUGCCAGCAGCCGCGGUAAUAC
Molecule: ribosomal RNA, 405 nt
Filed under: uncultured bacterium
Lineage: Bacteria
Description: partial 16S ribosomal RNA
Rfam family: Bacterial small subunit ribosomal RNA
Source: RNAcentral